AGGGGUUUGAUCCUGGGGCUCAGGACGAACGUUGGCGGCGCGCAUAAUGCAUGCAAGUCGAACGAAGUCUCACCCUUCGGGGUGAUACUGAGUGGCAGACGGCUGAGUAACACGUGAAUGAUCUGCCUUUGGGUGGGGGACAACAGAGAGAAAUUUCUGCUAAUACCCCAUGUGGUCUGCGGUCUAAGUGCCGUAGACGAAAGGUGCCGGGUAACCGGUUUCCGCCCUUAGAUGAGUUCGCGGCCUAUCAGGUAGUUGGUGGGGUAAUGGCCUACCAAGCCGAAGACGGGUAACUGGUGUGAGAGCACGACCAGCCAGAGGGGGACUGAGACACGGCCCCCACUCCUACGGGAGGCAGCAGCAGGGAAUCUUCCACAAUGGACGAAAGUCUGAUGGAGCGACGCCGCGUGAGGGAUGAAGGCUUUAGGGUCGUAAACCUCUUUUCUCAGGGAAGAGCAAGGACGGUACCUGAGGAAUAAGUGACGGCUAACUACGUGCCAGCAGCCGCGGUAAUACGUAGGUCACAAACGUUGUCCGGAAUUAUUGGGCGUAAAGGGUCCGUAGGCGGUUCGGUAAGUCUCCUGUGAAAUCUUCAGGCUCAACUUGAAGAGGUCGGGGGAUACUGCUGAACUUGAGACAGACAGAGGCNAGUGGAAUUCCCGGUGUAGUGGUGAAAUGCGUAGAUAUCGGGAGGAACACC
This 700-nucleotide ribosomal RNA is filed under the name uncultured bacterium. RNAcentral's name for it is "bacterial SSU rRNA". It matches the Rfam family "Bacterial small subunit ribosomal RNA", at positions 1 to 710 of the family's 1533-position model. The record is from RNAcentral.